UUUGUCAGUGAUGAUGUUUUCACAAAGUUUUGAUUUUGAUGAAAUAAACUAACAUGCACUACCAUCUGAGACAGG
This 75-nucleotide small nucleolar RNA is filed under the name Gigantopelta aegis. The record is from RNAcentral. Lineage: Eukaryota; Metazoa; Mollusca; Gastropoda; Neomphalida; Peltospiridae.